This 911-nucleotide ribosomal RNA is filed under the name Formicidae sp. NZAC 03010883. Its description in RNAcentral is "eukaryotic LSU rRNA". The stretch from base 464 to 911 matches the Rfam family "Eukaryotic large subunit ribosomal RNA", at positions 1 to 940 of the family's 3401-position model. The record is from RNAcentral. Lineage: Eukaryota; Metazoa; Arthropoda; Insecta; Hymenoptera; Formicidae.
UACGUGAAACCGUUCAGGGGUAAACCUAAGAAACCCAAAAGAUCGAACGGGGAGAUUCAUCGUCAGCGACGCUGGCUUCGCGUCGGUGGGCGAUGCCACGCGGGGCCUCGCGGCUCGCGCGCGGGCACGCUGCCGUGCGUCGAUGUCCGGCGUUCGUCGUCGUGCACUUCUCCCCUAGUAGAACGUCGCGACCCGCUGGGUGUCGGUCUACGGCCCGGGUGCGGUGACUGACGCGUCGCCGGUAAAACGGCACGCGUCAAACCCUCGGUCGCCCGGCCGGCUGCCCGGCGGUACACGGAAGGUAUCAGGCCGCAGCUCUCACGCGCCCUACUCACUCUCUCACGGGGGGGAGUUGCGGUGGCGUCGAGUGUGCGUCGAGGCCGUCGCAAGCGCGCGCCACGGUACACGGAGGUUCACGGACCUAGCGCCGUCACCGGUCCUGGCCCGCUGUUGGCUCGUACGGUUAACCUUCGACAGGCCCGCAAACGCGUCCCUCGCCGUGCCCCCGGUAAAACGGGGGUUCGCGCGCUGGGACCGCGAUACCGGUCGGCGACGCUACUGCUUUGGGUACUCUUAGGACCCGUCUUGAAACACGGACCAAGGAGUCUAACAUGUACGCGAGUCAUUGGGACUUGACAGUAUACCUAAAGGCGUAAUGAAAGUGAAGGUCGGCCCUGGUUGUCGACCGAGGGAGGAUGGGCCGCGUCGCGCAUGCGGCUCCGCACUCCCGGGGCGUCUCGUUCUCAUCGCGAGAAGAGGCGCACCCAGAGCGUACACGUUGGGACCCGAAAGAUGGUGAACUAUGCCUGGUCAGGACGAAGUCAGGGGAAACCCUGAUGGAGGUCCGUAGCGAUUCUGACGUGCAAAUCGAUCGUCGGAACUGGGUAUAGGGGGCGAAAGACUAAUCGAAC